UUUUUGGCUUUUUCACGUUUUACUUCCAACCCAUUAAUGGAUUCUUUGAAUUGGGGUGAAUUUUGAAGUGUUUUUCAUUUGGGUUUAAUGGUUUGAUAUUGAUAAAGAAAGUUAGCUGUGAAAUGGAUUCUGGAAUGCAUGGUGAACAGAGUAUGUGUUUUGGCCAUUAUGGGAAAGGAAAGGUUUGUGAUGUGAGAAGCUACGGUAUGAAUGCAAGAGUUUAAAGUGGAUAUCUGGUAAUUGCAAUUGUGUGAUACUGAUUUGCAUUAGAUGAAUGGGUCUGAAAAACCGUUCAACAAGUUCUUCUAUUUCUUUUAUUUUUGAUGAUGAUAGUGAAGAAAAUUGCAAAUGAUUGUUUGUGUUGGGAAAAUGGUAUGUAUGUUCUUGAAUUUUUUGGAUCCAUUUUGGUGUUUGCUGUGUGCUUAAGAAUUAUCUUAUAACUGUUAUUUUUGCUGAGUUAGUUAAACUAUGUAGAAUGAAUGCAUGAAUUUAGAAGUAAAUAUUUGAUUGAACUGUUGUUAAGUUCAUCCUCAUAUAUGAGAUCGAGCUUAAAGUUGCCACUCUCAAACAAGUUUUAAAUCAUGUGCUAAGCAAUUAGAUUUAGGUUAGUUUCUUGAUGAUAACUUGUGUUUCGUAGGUGAAUGUUCCCAAGACAAAGAA
This 660-nucleotide unclassified non-coding RNA is filed under the name Hevea brasiliensis (rubber tree). The record is from RNAcentral. Lineage: Eukaryota; Viridiplantae; Streptophyta; Magnoliopsida; Malpighiales; Euphorbiaceae.